UUAAAGUAGAUCUCUCAAAGGCUUAUGACAAAAUUUCCUAGGAAUUUAUUCAGAGGGUGCUUAUGGAGAUUCAGUUACUUGAACAAUUGAUAAAUAUUAUUAUGCACAUGAUCACAAGCGUGGAGACUAAUAUCAAAUUAAAUGGUGCUUAAAAUGAAUAUUUUAAACCUCAAUGAGGAAUUCACCAGCGUGAUACGAUAUCAAUGUAUUUAUUUGUUUUGUGCAUUGAUAAGCUAUAUCACCUCAUCUCUCAUGCAGUUUCAAAG
This 266-nucleotide long non-coding RNA is filed under the name Lathyrus oleraceus (garden pea). RNAcentral describes it as "Pisum sativum (pea) long non-coding RNA (PSAT_LNC038521)". Lineage: Eukaryota; Viridiplantae; Streptophyta; Magnoliopsida; Fabales; Fabaceae. The record is from RNAcentral.